AGUGAACGCUGGCGGUAGGCCUAACACAUGCAAGUCGAACGGCAACACGAUGAGCUCUUGCUCUUACGGGUGGCGAGUGGCGGACGGGUGACAAAUACAUCGCAAUCUACUAUUUCGGGGGGAAUAACGUAGGAAAGGUGACACUAACAGCUCAUAUAUCCUACGGGUUGAAUCAGGAGUGCUUGAGACCUUUGCCGUCUGAUUGAGCCGAAGUCGGAUUAGCUAGUUGGCGGGGUAAGGGCCCACCAAGGCGACGAUGCGUAGCUGGUCUGAGAGGAUGAUCAGCCACACUGGAACUGAGACACGGUCCAGACUCCUACGGGAGGCAGCAGUAGGGAAUCUUGCACAAUGGGCGCAAGCCUGAUCGAGCCAUGCCGCGUGAGUGAAGAAGGUCUUCGGGUUGUAAAGCUCUUUUAUUGGGAAAGAAAAGAUGCAGAUGAAUCCCUGGAUGUUCUGACGGUACCCAAUGAAUAAGCCCCGGCUAACUUCGUG
This 492-nucleotide ribosomal RNA is filed under the name uncultured bacterium. RNAcentral's name for it is "partial 16S ribosomal RNA". It matches the Rfam family "Bacterial small subunit ribosomal RNA", at positions 29 to 507 of the family's 1533-position model. The record is from RNAcentral.